This 322-nucleotide ribosomal RNA is filed under the name uncultured soil bacterium. RNAcentral describes it as "bacterial SSU rRNA". It matches the Rfam family "Bacterial small subunit ribosomal RNA", at positions 26 to 351 of the family's 1533-position model. The record is from RNAcentral.
AGAUUGAACGCUGGCGGCAUGCUUUACACAUGCAAGUCGAACGGGCUGUUGGGGCAACCUGGCAGUCAGUGGCGGACGGGUGAGUAAUGCAUCGGAACGUGUCCCGUAGUGGGGGAUAACCCGGCGAAAGCCGGACUAAUACCGCAUAUGCUCUACGGAGGAAAGCGGGGGACCUGAAAGGGCCUCGCGCUAUGGGAGCGGCCGAUGUCCGAUUAGCUUGUUGGUGGGGUAAUGGCCUACCAAGGCGACGAUCGGUAGCUGGUCUGAGAGGAUGAUCAGCCACACUGGGACUGAGACACGGCCCAGACUCCUACGGGAGCAG